UACGUAGGGUGCAAGCGUUGUCCGGAAUUAUUGGGCGUAAAGAGCUCGUAGGCGGUCUGUUGCGUCCGCUGUGAAAACUCGGGGCUUAACCCCGAGCCUGCAGUGGAUACGGGCAGACUAGAGGUAGGUAGGGGAGAAUGGAAUUCCCGGUGUAGCGGUGAAAUGCGCAGAUAUCGGGAGGAACACCGGUGGCGAAGGCGGUUCUCUGGGCCUUACCUGACGCUGAGGAGCGAAGGCCAGGGGAGCAAACAGG
Molecule: ribosomal RNA, 253 nt
Filed under: uncultured bacterium
Lineage: Bacteria
Description: partial 16S ribosomal RNA
Rfam family: Bacterial small subunit ribosomal RNA
Source: RNAcentral